Molecule: ribosomal RNA, 166 nt
Filed under: uncultured bacterium
Lineage: Bacteria
Description: partial 16S ribosomal RNA
Rfam family: Bacterial small subunit ribosomal RNA
Source: RNAcentral
GCUAGUAAUCGCAGAUCAGCAUGCUGCGGUGAAUACGUUCCCGGGCCUUGUACACACCGCCCGUCACACCAUGGGAGUCGGUAACACCCGAAGUCGGUAGCCUAACCGUAAGGAGGGCGCCGCCAAGGUGGGAUUGAUGACUGGGGUGAAGUCGUAACAAGGUAAC